AUGGAUAUAAUUGUUUAAUCUUUUACUGCACCUUAAGCAACCGAAAAGUGAGGACGAUGAAAACAGUUAUAUAAACAAAUAAAUGUAAUUGAACAAGUUCAUACAUAUAUGUUGCUCAUUUGUUUCAGCAUUUUUGCUUUGGCUCAUCUGAUUGAAAUGUUCUUCCAUAACAGGUUCCAACUUAGUUUUUUCCAGCACCUUAUAAAAAAUUGAUUCCGUCUUGCACAAAUUACAAGGUAAAGGAAGAACCCAGAAGCGAUAUGUUCACUGUUCAGCAGCUAAUAGACGGGGGAAAUGGUGAAGAUGGCAAUGCUGAAAAUGAAGUUUCUCAGACACCAAGAAGUAAUCUUUUCGGCUUCUCAGCCUCGCUUGAUGAUGAGUGUUCUCAUGGAGAUGACUAGCGGAGUGUUCUCAUGGAAAAUUUCAAAUUAAAGGUUGCAAUCAAAUCCUUAACAACUUUUAUGCUUUUUUUUCCUCCCUAAUUGGGAGUAGCUGAGCACGGAACCGUUAAUUUGGGUUACAUUUGGGGAGACUAUAUAUGUUUAGGUGUCGAUUCUAGACUAACCUGUGUCGUGACUAAACGUACCACCAGCUUAACGUACAACAAGUUCUUUCGAUUAAGUCGGGAUGUGGGCCUCACCAUGGCUAGUCUAAGGUCGGGUUGGGAAGAAAUGUUUUGAUGGCUAUAAGUGAUUAAGUCUAAACUUAUAUCUUAUUACCUCAAGAAUAUAUACAUUGGUUUUUGACUCCACUCUAACAGUUUUCAGAUUUUCUGAGGAAGCUCAGAGGGUAGAGACUGCCGCUCGUCUAGCGUACCAGCUUUCCAGUGUUGGUGGCUCGAUGUUUAGCCUCAUGGUGGGUUGAGACACUACUAGUCUCAACCCACAAAUGUUUUGAGUGAGGUGCUGUAAAUUGAUUACUAUUGGCGCUCAAGCAAUGACCGUAGACACAAGUAAAAAAUAGUAAGCAUCAAUAACUUCAGUUCAGAGAAGAAUAUAUUACUUUUGUUGUUUUCUUAUAAAUAUAUGAUAAUAAUUAUGUUAUGAGUAAUUAUUUAUGCAGCAUAAACCUUGGUUACUUGACUGAUUACGAUCACAUGGAAGUGGG
This 1107-nucleotide small RNA is filed under the name Malus domestica (apple). RNAcentral describes it as "sRNA MD11G0233600". Lineage: Eukaryota; Viridiplantae; Streptophyta; Magnoliopsida; Rosales; Rosaceae. The record is from RNAcentral.